UGGGGAAUUGUUCGCAAUGGGCGCAAGCCUGACGACGCAAUGCCGCGUGGAGGAUGAAGGUCUUCGGAUUGUAAACUCCUGUUGCCAGGGACGAAUGGCUCCGACCUAACACGUCGGAGUAUGACGGUACCUGGUGAGGAAGCCCCGGCUAACUCUGUGCCAGCAGCCGCGGUAAUACAGAGGGGGCAAGCGUUGUUCGGAAUUACUGGGCGUAAAGGGCGCGUAGGCGGCCCGCUAAGUCGAACGUGAAAUCCCCAGGCUCAACCUGGGAACUGCGUCCGAUACUGGCAGGCUUGAAUCCGGGAGAGGGAUGUGGAAUUCCAGGUGUAGCGGUGAAAUGCGUAGAUAUCUGGAGGAACACCGGUGGCGAAGGCGGCAUCCUGGACCGGUAUUGACGCUGAGGCGCGAAAGCCAGGGGAGCAAACGGGAUUAGAUACCCCCGGUAGUCCUGGCCCUAAACGAUGAAUGCUUGGUGUGGCGGGUAUCGAUCCCUGCCGUGCCGAAG
This 505-nucleotide ribosomal RNA is filed under the name uncultured Acidobacteriota bacterium. RNAcentral's name for it is "bacterial SSU rRNA". It matches the Rfam family "Bacterial small subunit ribosomal RNA", at positions 355 to 851 of the family's 1533-position model. The record is from RNAcentral. Lineage: Bacteria; Pseudomonadati; Acidobacteriota.